GCCACUCCUAGCUAUGUAACCAAAUGAAGAGUACACAUGUGCUCCGAGAGACACACACGGGAAUAUUCAGAACCUUUUCUGUAAUAGCUAUAAACUGAAAGCAGCACACGUCCAAAAGGAAAAUGAAUAAACAAAUACAGCAUAUUCAUACAAUAGAAUCCUAUAUAGAGCAACUAAAAUAACAGCUAGAGGCAACAACACGGAUGGAUCUUACAAGCCUGAUGUGGAACAAGAGAAGCCCGUUCAGAGACUAAGUGAAUGGAUUUAUGUGGUAUGCAAAAACAGGCAAAACCAAAUUAUAGUGUUUUGGGAGGUAUGCUUACAUAGUAAAGCUCUGAAGGAAAACAAAGAAAAGGAGACUAAAGAGAAUGACAACUUACGCAAUGCAGAAUCCUGGAUUGGAUCCUAGAUCCAAUCAAUGUGUAGGGAUGCCGAUCCCACUCCAAAUCUAGAACAUCAUUCACAUCUUGGACAGCAAAUUUCACAUACUGAUGAAGGCGCCGAAUUUCCUAUAAGAAAACAAUUAAAAGUCAUUCUGCAAAAUCUACAAGUGGAUAGCACACCACCACUACCUGGGCCCACCAUGUCCCUGCAAGAAAGACAACGUGAAAGAAGGUUCUUGUAUGCAAAGGCAUACCGGUAGUAGAGCCAUCACCACAUCUGGAGACGUUUCCAGGGUCCCAUCUGCAGCAGCAUACACUAUUGCGAAGACGUAGGUACCAAUCCACAGCACAUCCAGAACUGAAAGACACAUCUUAAUCAGUAGGUCAUAAAAAUGACAGCAAUCAGAUACAAGAAAAAGCAGCUUAUGUUUGGAAUAGCCAUUACGGAUAAAAAGAAAUCAAAGGCCCAGAUUUCAUUGACUAAAUAUAAU
This 874-nucleotide non-coding RNA is filed under the name Pongo abelii (Sumatran orangutan). The record is from RNAcentral. Lineage: Eukaryota; Metazoa; Chordata; Mammalia; Primates; Hominidae.